ACUGAAACACAAAGGGGAAGACGAAAGGUAGCCUGGGAAGGAUACAGAGAAAUUGUCUGAGCAGCCAGCAAUCAGGUUAGGAAAGCCAAAGCCCAUUUAGAAUUAAAUUUGUCCAGGGAUAUCAAGGGCAGUAAAAAA
Long non-coding RNA from Oxyura jamaicensis (ruddy duck), 138 nucleotides. RefSeq lists it as uncharacterized. The transcript is spliced from 3 exons. Lineage: Eukaryota; Metazoa; Chordata; Aves; Anseriformes; Anatidae. The record is from RefSeq and is a predicted model, not a curated record.